AAAUUGAAGAGUUUGAUCAUGGCUCAGAUUGAACGCUGGCGGCAGGCCUAACACAUGCAAGUCGAACGGUAGCACAGAGAGCUUGCUCUCGGGUGACGAGUGGCGGACGGGUGAGUAAUGUCUGGGAAACUGCCUGAUGGAGGGGGAUAACUACUGGAAACGGUGGCUAAUACCGCAUAACGUCGCAAGACCAAAGAGGGGGACCUUCGGGCCUCUUGCCAUCAGAUGUGCCCAGAUGGGAUUAGCUAGUUGGUGAGGUAACGGCUCACCAAGGCGACGAUCCCUAGCUGGUCUGAGAGGAUGACCAGCCACACUGGAACUGAGACACGGUCCAGACUCCUACGGGAGGCAGCAGUGGGGAAUAUUGCACAAUGGGCGCAAGCCUGAUGCAGCCAUGCCGCGUGUAUGAAGAAGGCCUUCGGGUUGUAAAGUACUUUCAGCGGGGAGGAAGGUGUUGUGGUUAAUAACCACAGCAAUUGACGUUACCCGCAGAAGAAGCACCGGCUAACUCCGUGCCAGCAGCCGCGGUAAUACGGAGGGUGCAAGCGUUAAUCGGAAUUACUGGGCGUAAAGCGCACGCAGGCGGUCUGUCAAGUC
RNAcentral lists this ribosomal RNA (597 nucleotides) under Salmonella enterica subsp. enterica. Its description in RNAcentral is "bacterial SSU rRNA". It matches the Rfam family "Bacterial small subunit ribosomal RNA", at positions 1 to 589 of the family's 1533-position model. The record is from RNAcentral. Lineage: Bacteria; Pseudomonadati; Pseudomonadota; Gammaproteobacteria; Enterobacterales; Enterobacteriaceae.